Molecule: ribosomal RNA, 508 nt
Filed under: uncultured bacterium
Lineage: Bacteria
Description: bacterial SSU rRNA
Rfam family: Bacterial small subunit ribosomal RNA
Source: RNAcentral
GGGGGAAUCUUGCGCAAUGGCCGAAAGGCUGACGCAGCGACGCCGCGUGUGGGAGGAAGCUCUUCGGGGUGUAAACCACUGUUGCCCGGGACGAACAUGCUCUUUCGAGAGCACUGACGGUACCGGGUGAGGAAGCACCGGCUAACUCUGUGCCAGCAGCCGCGGUAAUACAGAGGGUGCGAGCGUUGUCCGGAAUCACUGGGCGUAAAGGGCGCGUAGGCGGCUUGAUAAGCGUGCGGUGAAAGCCCGGGGCUCAACCCCGGGUCGGCCGUGCGAACUGUCGAGCUGGAGCACUGUAGAGGCAGGUGGAAUUCCGGGUGUAGCGGUGGAAUGCGUAGAGAUCCGGAAGAACACCGGUGGCGAAGGCGGCCUGCUGGGCAGUGGCUGACGCUGAGGCGCGACAGCGUGGGGAGCAAACAGGAUUAGAUACCCUGGUAGUCCACGCCGUAAACGAUGGGCACUAGGUGCUUGGGGAGCGACCCUCCGAGUGCCGGCGCUAACGCAUUAA